UGCACGACUGCCUGGUUCAACACAUGACUCAUUCAUCCUGGAACACAGCAGUGUAGGGAGCAGACUGCUGGCUGGCGCUGCACGCGAUGGCUGGCUUCUCGCAUGAGGAAUCGGACCCACAGCCCCGUGCGCGGCAUGAUGGCUAUCAUUGGGAGCAAGACUUCGGGAAGAUGUAAUGCGGCGUUUGUGAAGGCAGCAGUGCAAAGACAGCCUCAGUCAGAACCCGGCCACUUCCAGAGGCUGCAUGCACCCAGGACUUGCUGGUGCUGAGGACAACCCAGGCGCUAUUCAACCACCUCCUGCAACUCCUCACCACCUAUUGCUCCCAUUGUCUCUAGCUGGGGGACAACCAAACCAUUACAUUGUGCUUUGUCAAGUCAAACUUUUUUUCUCAGAAAUGCAAAUAAAAACCGCUUACCGUGUGUCGUCUUGGCCAUGUCUGUGUCUCCCUCUUUCUCAGACACCACCCCACACACACACUUGUUUCCCCCAGUAUUGAAGCCAUCCGGGUUUCAAUAGGUGUCAGCUUCGAUGUGCCUUCACCACCUCCGGUAGCAGACACACUCAUUUGAUGCGCUGCAAUUCUAUUUUUUAUAAUCACUUUCAAAUCCGACCACUUUUUGAAAAUUUUGGGCACUGUCCUGUUUGCAGCACUCACUUCAUUCACAGCAUUCGUUACCCGUUGCCACUCACUGCCUUUCUUUUUGUCACCCCACUACUGUGACCACCAAGUACAAAAUAUUUUUUCUGCUUUCCACUUCACCCACAAGCACAUCUAUCUCGGUUUCAGAGAAGUUUCUCUUUUUACUUUUCCCCUCGGUUGCCAUGAUGCCAUGAGUUUUUCAGGUUUAUAUCGGAUGCUUAAAUAUGCAUGAGGUGAUUUGCAUUGACCAUGCAUGGUUGAAGGGGGCGUGUAGAGGGCGAAAAAUAAAG
Molecule: long non-coding RNA, 933 nt
Organism: Paramormyrops kingsleyae
Lineage: Eukaryota; Metazoa; Chordata; Actinopteri; Osteoglossiformes; Mormyridae
Source: RefSeq, a predicted model, not a curated record